ACAGCUUCCGGAAGGCAGGAACGGAGAUGUGCCCACCGUAAAGGCUCUUAGUCAAGGGAGAAGGAGGACGGGAGAGGAGAACCACUUCACCUGGGAAGUGGGACGGAUGGGGUGAGCAAGAGGAAGCAAAAGAACAGCAUACCCGAAAGUGAAGAAUCGAGUAAAUUCUUCAGAAAGUCUAACCUGAGUCAUUCUUAUCUCAAAUUAUGACGGACACUCACCGGAAGUGGAAAGAGGACAAUAGCUGAGAGAAAGAGGAAAGCAGAGGGAGAAAGAGAAACAUCAGUGUGAGAGUGGAACAUUGAUUGGCUGCCUCCUGCUUGCCGCCCUACUGCUUGCCGCCCAGGCCGGGACUCGAAC
Long non-coding RNA from Myotis myotis, 360 nucleotides. RefSeq lists it as uncharacterized. NCBI's taxonomy places the organism in Eukaryota, Metazoa, Chordata, Mammalia, Chiroptera, Vespertilionidae. The record is from RefSeq and is a predicted model, not a curated record. The transcript has 3 exons.